Molecule: long non-coding RNA, 2331 nt
Filed under: Pongo abelii (Sumatran orangutan)
Lineage: Eukaryota; Metazoa; Chordata; Mammalia; Primates; Hominidae
Description: lincRNA
Source: RNAcentral
AGUGUACAGAGCUGCUGUCUUUUGUGGAUGGGAAAAAGGGUAUUUGUUAUGUCUCAGGAAAGCUGGAUGACUAUCUCAUUCUCUGAUGAUGGAGAAGAAUGUUCACAACCUGCUCCCCACCUCCCACUGUGAAAUACCAAUAUGGUGGAAACAGAAGGGAGAAGAAAGAACAGCGGAGACACUGAUCAUUGGAAACCAAAGAAGCAGCUCAUGCAUAAUGGAGAGCUAUCUGCAUGCAAAUUGCUAGGAGAAGUACUUCCUAUUUUUCUGGGAUAUUGUAUUUAGCCCUCUCUACUCUAUUCAGAAGAGUUCUAUUCCCCAGGCCAAGAAGGGGAAAUACACUGACGACAACAUUAAUUGUUGGAACUAAAUGCACAAGAAUCAGGAGCAUCUUAACUCCAUGCCCUGAACAUGAUCAGUACUGAAGAACUAUGGAUUAAUUAUUUUUUAUUGAUUGAUUGAUUGAAAAUGUAUCACUACAGAAAAGCAAAUGUGAAGCUUACAGAGGGAGAGUGGUGCAGUUAAAUGCUAAAGUUAAAUCUACUUUUCUGGCAGCUGCAGAAAGAUUCCUCUUCUGCCUCCUAUAAUUGCUCUGAGGAUAUUUAAAUUGUAGAGCUCUAAGUGGCUGCCCUCAAUUUGCUUCAAAGAUAAUAACGUCACCUUACAGUUUAUAAAGCACCUUGUUACAUCCCUUUGGAGACCUACAGCAAUCCCGUAUGAAUCUGGGGAUUAUUUAUUCUUUUUUUCAAAUAAGAAAACUGAAGCACAGAGGAAGGAGUUACACAUUAAAAGCCAGGGAACUUGUACAUUAGUUAAGGUAAUGCUAGCAGCUAUAACAAAUAAAUGCCAAAAUCUCAGAACUUAAUACAAUAGAUCUUACUUUUUGAUUAUCCUAUGGCACCACACGGUGUUCUGGGUAGAUGAGGAGUCAUCCACAAGGUAUUUCGGGGAUCUAGGCUCCUUGGAUCUGUGGCUCUACUACCUUCCUCUAGUCUUCAAAUCUUCUGCAUCCAACAAGCAGAUGGAGAAUGAGGAAUUGGAAUAGGCAUUCCUUUGUUUAAGCUCUUUGGUCCAGAACUGAUACACAUAACAUCUGCUGAUAUCCUGUGACUAGAACGUCACCUGGCCCUCAUCUGGAUACAAGAGGAUGGUACUGAGAAACAAUUGCAGCCUGGGCAGAUGCUUUUCAGUGCAAUUCUAUUCUAAAGAAGAGGCAGACUGAAUGCUACAUGCCAGUAUGUAGAAUCUCCAGGACUCAAAAACAGACACAUGACAUUAAAUCCAGUGCUCUUGCUACUACAACACACUGCCUCUGUAUUCAGAGUUGCGUCAGCCUAGAUCGUAGUUUUGGAAUGAGUUAGAACCUGACCCUAACACUUGACAGUGUUAAAAGGGGGACUGUCACCAGUGGGACGAACCCUUGAACUAAGCAUGAGGAGAACCUGGCUUGUGCCCUGGCUCUGCCCUAUCUGACUGAUUGAGUAAAUCAUGAAAUCACUCUGCAUCUCUUUUUUUCAAAGUCAUUGAUACAAACCUUUACUUCUCAACUUUUCCCAAUUAAGCUACUAGAAUCUUAUAUUAUUUUUCCCUAAGAUGCUCAGACAUUCCUAUAAUGUUAUACAAGUCCAUGUUAUAAGAGCCCCUUAACAAUAAGUGGUAGCUGAUAAAACCGUAUCAAUACACAAUUCUAUACAAAGGUAAGAAACUGGAAACAUUAUUUGGCCUUCAUAGACCUUGCUUGGAUAACUGCUCAAUUUCUAUGAAGGUAUUGGAAUUAUUGGGAGGUGAAAUUGGCCACUCCUGUAACUAUUUCUGCAGAUCUCCAAUUGGGAACCAUAGAGGUUCAUGACCUAAGGCUCCAACCAGUUAACAUCUGAAAAUGUCUUUUGUCUCUGUAAUCUUGACAAGUGAAUUCCAGUCACACCCAUCCUAAGAAGAGUGUGCCUGGAAAUACUGGUUUUCUUCUUCUCAAGUUGUCUGAAUCCAGAAGUAUAUAUUAGUCUGGAAGUGGCUGGAGGUGAUGGAAAAGAGAGGAUGUUGAAAAAAGCACCCUUGGUGAAGUGGAGCAGCAACUCGCUCAGAAGCCUCAUGAAUCUGUAACAUCGUUUGAACUCCAAAGCUUUCUUCAUCACUCAUAAAUCCAUAAUCAUCACUCCACCUCGGAAAAAUCUCACUCUGCUCUUCUCUAUCUUCUACAUGAAACGUAUCAGGAAGAAAAAUUAACAUAAGGAACUUUCACCAGUUUUAUAAAAUCUUAACCCUUUUGUACACUUGUUUCUGAUAAUUUUAAGAACUAAUAUCAAUAAUCAUUAAAACGUUGAACCAUGCCCA